This is a non-coding RNA of Musa acuminata subsp. malaccensis (wild Malaysian banana), 1589 nucleotides long. The record is from RefSeq and is a predicted model, not a curated record. NCBI's taxonomy places the organism in Eukaryota, Viridiplantae, Streptophyta, Magnoliopsida, Zingiberales, Musaceae.
GGUGUCUAGGCUUGCGAGUGACAAGGGGAGAGAGGAAGGGUGGCGGUGGGGAGGAGCUUGGAAGGGGGAGAAAGUGAGAUCCAGGUGCCCUACCGGUGGAUGCAGGACCCCUCACCCUCUACCGGAAGUACCAGGUGGCCCAAUUUCAUCUGAUGACCUCGUCUUUUGAGGCCAGCAUAGGGCACAAAGUUCCCGCAGGGUUCUGGGGAGACUUGAGGUCACGCUGAUCACCGAGGAGCAAUCUUAUCAUGACACCAAACCCCACCCACUCAGGCCAGUUUCCACCAGCCAUAUCAACACCUAGGUAGUUUUACAUAGAGGCUGUUUGGAUGAGUGCUUUCCCCUGCAUUCCAUCAAGUGGUACAGGACUUUCGGAUGCAGGAAAUUCUUGCUUGGAUGGUUGCGUUUUCCAGAAGAACGUUCCUCUUAAAAUGCAGUUGGGUCACAAAUUUUUAUCAUGCAGCAACAUGUUUGCAUGAGAAAGCAUCUUCUUUUUUCCUUCACACAUCCUUUCAUUUCGCUAUGCAGAAAUUGAUAUCAGCCUGCCAUUGCAAAAAUGCAGGGAUCCAAACGAGUGACCCUGCAGUUGCAAAGACUUGCGUCGGUAACACAGCAAAUUCAUAAAUGUAAGGUAGGCUCUUACUUUCCGCCAUUCUUUUUUAUUGUUGUAGAUCCAGGUAUCAGCUAAUGCAGCACGUCCAUAAAUACAACCAUCCAAACAGCUUUAUAGACUCCUUCAUUGGGCAAGAUAAACUAAUUUGGAAGUUUUCUUGCUGUGCAACGAGUUAUUUGAACUUGUAUAGUGCUCAUAUGAUUCUCUUAUGUCAAGACAGAAUCUUAUUGGGUUUAAUUGUUCCCUGUCCUUUCUCAACUUCUACUUGAUGUUAAUAGUUGUCAAAUAUGUGUUAUGUUAAACCUUCUUUAGCGGUGACCAACUUGAUAUGCAUACAUGGUACGGAUUUCAUCGUUUGUAAGUUCUUACUAUGUUAAACCUUCUAUUGUAGCUGACUGUUUGUUUUAGAACUCUUGCAUCUGCAACAUUUCUGUGGACAAAGACCUUUAUCCCUAUGCUGUGGUCACUGAUGUCUUGGAAGCUCCAGCAAAAAUGAAUCUGGACUGCUGUGUGAGACAUCAAGAUGGAGAAGAUUCAUGGUUAGGACUCCUUUAUUAGGGUGCUAAGAAAUGGCCACCUUACAGCUCUCAUAAUAGGAGUAUGGAAGAAGCACUCGGGUGUAGAGGAGUAGAACAAUCUUGAAAGUGAUAGUAGAAGUAGCUGGUGCAGGGUUAGUGAUUCCUAAGGUUUCUUAAAACCUACACUUUCUGCUUUUUCUUGUUAUGAUGAGAACAAGUAAAAGGCAGGCAAAUGGACUGCCGCAAUGGUAGUCGUAGUCGGUAUUGAAGUUAAGCAACUCUCUUUUUCGAGGACACGAGAUUUCAACACAGCUUCUUUACCUAAUCUAGGAUGCUAUGGCCUGCGUCAUUUCCGCAUUAACUGCUAAUGUCUUUAUGCAUGAUCUCAUCAUAUUCCUGAGUUUUCUGAGCAUCAUAAUGUCUCAAACAUGCUUAUUGAUGAUUCGGAUAGAAUGUCG